Molecule: long non-coding RNA, 2575 nt
Organism: Homo sapiens (human)
Lineage: Eukaryota; Metazoa; Chordata; Mammalia; Primates; Hominidae
Product: long intergenic non-protein coding RNA 2930
Source: Ensembl
GAGUCUCGCCCUGUCACCCAGGCUGGAGUGCAGUGGCACGAUCUUGGCUAUUGCAGCCUCUGCCUCCUGGUUUCAAGCGAUUCUCCUGCCUCAGCCUCCCGCAUAGCUGGAAUUACGAGUGUGCACCACCAUGCCCAGCUAAUUUUUGUAUUUUUAGUAGAGACAGUAGAUGUUGGCCAGGCUGGUCUUGAACUACUGACCACAAGUGAUCUGCCUGUCUCCACCUUGCAAAGUGCUGGGAUUACAGGCAUGAGCCACAGCACCUGGCCCCUUCUUUCUUUCCUUCCUUCCUUCCUUCCUUCCUUCCUUCCUUCCUUCCUUCUUCUUCUCUUCUCUCUCUCUCUUUCAUUCUUUCUUUUUUCUUUCUUUCUCCCUCCCUCCCUCUCUCCCUUCCUUUCUUCCUCUCAAUGAACAUAGUAUUUUGAAUACUAUAGUAGACUAAAUAGUGCCCCCCCCACCAAAGGUCCAUGUUGUAAUACCUGGAACCUGUGAAUAUGUUACCUUACAUGGCAAAGGGCACUUACUUUGCAGAUAUGAUAAAGAGGGACUCAGAAGGUGUCAGAGUCAAGGAAGACAAUAUGACAACAAGCCAAGAGGGGUUUGAAGAUGCUACUUUGCUGGCUUUGAAAGGGGCCAGAGCCAGAGAAUCCAAGGAAUGCAGCUCUAGCAGCUGGAAAGGCCACAGUUCUCCCCUAGAGCCUCUGGAGGGAGCGCAGCCCUGCCAGCACCGUAGGUUCAGCCCGGAUGCACCAUUUCAGACUUCGGACCUCCAGAACUAUAAGAGAAUAUAUUGUGCUAUUUUAAACCUUAAAGUUUGUGGUCAUUUGUUCCAGCAGCAACAGGAAACUAAUUUGAGCACCAAGCACUGUAUCUGAUAUAACCAAAGCUUCAAAGGAGGGUGCAGGCCCAGGAGUCGUGUGGCCACUGCCAGGAGAGCUAAAGCCAUAAGAGUGAGUGGGGAAGGGGAAGAGUUCCAGGAGCCAUGAACGGAUUACUCAAGCAGGGAUGCACAUUGUAUAUAAAAGAAAGACAUGAAGUACAGUUACAGAAGAGAGAUUGGGGCAUUGUCACUUCACAGAAGGCAAUGGGGAGUGUCAAGAGAUUGAUUUUCCCUCCUUUUCCCUGGGCUGUAAUUUCUCCCUCUUUCUUGGCUAUUCAUAAACAGAUGGCAAUGGACCCCAUGAGUGGAGCUUUAAGCCAAAAUGCCCAAAUCCAUAGAGACAGAAAGUAGGUUGGUGAUUGCCAGGGACGGGCUGGAAGGGAGCCGGGGGAAAAUGAGGAGUGACUGCUAAGAGGUAGAGGGUUUCUUUUGGGGGCUGUGAACAUGUUCCAGAAUUAAACAGUGAUGGUUGCACAACUCUGUGAAAAUACUAAAAACCCACUAAAUUGUACAUUUUGAAGGGGUGACUUUUAAGGUAUGUGAAUUAUAUUUCAAUACAAAUAAAAUAAGUAGAUAGAUAGAUAAAAGCCCACUCCUUGAGUGGCUUUCAUUCAAUGCAGCAGAACCAAAGAGCAGCCAGCGCCCUCCAAGCCUAAUGUGCUCCUUCUCACCACGCAGCUCUUGGCCACCUCGCUUCCUGCCUCUCUCAGUUGAUUCCCUGUGACUCUAUCCCUGCAUGGAGGAGAGACAAGUGAAAAUGAAAGACAGAUGAAUGUGUCAAGUUGAGAGCUCUUUACAUGAUGAAGGUGUUUCUGCUUCAUUGCAUGAAACAGAACAUAGAGCGGUGAUAAAACCCAGCCAGAUCCUUUGGGUUGACUUCCAACCGCAGGUGGUGGUUACUCAUUAGGAAAGAGCGAACACUGUAAUGACUUCAAAACUAAGGAGUGCAAAGCCAAAUAUUCACUAAUAAUCACUCAUCAAGGAGAACAGAUGGCACACGUUGAACACUCCUGAAAAUGAAAGCCCUUGGCUGCAGGGGUGAAUGUCCAGGACCCACAGAAAAUAUCAAGUCAGAUACCUCUUGAAGCACUGAUGGGAAGGUGCAGCUGGACUCCCUGGAACUCUGAAGCUGAGAGACAGAGCACUACGGAAGGGAGCCCCAUUCCCAAGCAUGGUGUCCAAUACACUGAAAGAAUAACUGGGCUCAGUAAUGCACCUAGAGACUCAGAUUCCAGACCUGCCCACUUGCUUUACUAUCCAAAACAACCAUGACACAUGACUUCUCUGGCGGGGUGUUGGCCAAGACAAACUGAACUAUAGAAGAUCCUUGACUUGCCAACGUUCAAAUGAUGAACUUUCAAAAAUAGCGAAACUGGCUGCAGAGCAAAAGCUUUUCAGCUCUGCACAACACCAACAGAUGGCGCUAAGUGUCACCCUUGUGGAGAGCAGAGGGACCUCGGAAGGGCCUUUGGAAAUCUAAUCUGGUUUUGAGUUCUUGGUGGGAAAAUGCACCUUUAAGUUGGGGGAGUUUGAAGACGUUGCCAAGACACGUGCUGCAGCAUUUGAUCUUUUCUGCCGCACUGGCUUCUGCAAUUAACAUGCUUUCACCAGUGAAACUCAGGUUGCGGGGAGAGCAUUCUUCCAGGUUCAUGCCUGUUGUCAUGGAGUAAUUAUAAUUCAUGUCUCCGUUCACAG